UAUAUGUCAUUUGUAAAGUCUCUGACCAAGCUUCGACUUCACUCCUUCCUUGUUGCAUCUAUAUUCACAUAAUCCAUUAAUAUAUAAAAAAAUUAGAUAUAAAUUAUAAAUAAAUUACCAAUUCAUGACGUCUUUGUGCUAAUCCUUUUGAACCAGCGUGAUGUGUCAUUUGAUUCGCUCGGUUCACGGUAUUUAUCUCGGAAAUUUGCUGAAAUUAUAAAAAAUAAUAAAUUUCUAAAUUUAUUAAUAUAAUAAAUAUAUAUAUAUAUAUAUACAUAUACAUACCUUUCCUUUUUCCGAUCGAUGCUGUCUCAAUUUAUUCAGAAAUUGAGGUUUGCUGACAUA
This 345-nucleotide long non-coding RNA is filed under the name Zostera marina. RNAcentral's name for it is "long non-coding RNA (ZMAR_LNC001807)". Lineage: Eukaryota; Viridiplantae; Streptophyta; Magnoliopsida; Alismatales; Zosteraceae. The record is from RNAcentral.